Molecule: ribosomal RNA, 254 nt
Filed under: uncultured bacterium
Lineage: Bacteria
Description: partial 16S ribosomal RNA
Rfam family: Bacterial small subunit ribosomal RNA
Source: RNAcentral
UACGUAGGGUGCAAGCGUUAAUCGGAAUUACUGGGCGUAAAGCGUGCGCAGGCGGUUUUGUAAGUCUGAUGUGAAAUCCCCCGGGCUCAACCUGGGAAUUGCGAUGGAGACUGCAAGGCUAGAAUCUGGCAGAGGGGGGUAGAAUUCCACGUGUAGCAGUGAAAUGCGUAGAGAUGUGGAGGAACACCGAUGGCGAAGGCAGCCCCCUGGGUCAAGAUUGACGCUCAUGCACGAAAGCGUGGGGAGCAAACAGG